UAAGGAAUAUUGGUCAAUGGACGCAAGUCUGAACCAGCCAUGCCGCGUGAAGGAUGAAGGUCCUCUGGAUUGUAAACUUCUUUUAUCUGGGACGAAAACGGGAUUUUUAUCUCAAUUGACGGUACCAGAGGAAUAAGCACCGGCUAACUCCGUGCCAGCAGCCGCGGUAAUACGGAGGGUGCGAGCGUUAUCCGGAUUUACUGGGUUUAAAGGGUGCGUAGGUGGGCUUAUAAGUCAGUGGUGAAAUCUCCGAGCUUAACUUGGAAACUGCCGUUGAUACUAUAGGUCUUGAAUUAUAUGGAGGUAAGCGGAAUAUGUCAUGUAGCGGUGAAAUGCUUAGAUAUGACACAGAACACCAAUUGCGAAGGCAGCUUACUACAUAUAAAUUGACGCUGAGGCACGAAAGCGUGGG
Molecule: ribosomal RNA, 412 nt
Filed under: uncultured bacterium
Lineage: Bacteria
Description: bacterial SSU rRNA
Rfam family: Bacterial small subunit ribosomal RNA
Source: RNAcentral